Molecule: long non-coding RNA, 522 nt
Organism: Caretta caretta (loggerhead turtle)
Lineage: Eukaryota; Metazoa; Chordata; Testudines; Cheloniidae
Source: RefSeq, a predicted model, not a curated record
GAGCAGGUUGCCAUAGUUUCAAAGGGAGGUCCAAGAACUAGACUGAGAUCCCAAAUUGGAGUGGGGUCUUUCACUUGAGGGAAAAAUUACCCCAAACCUUUGAUGAGCCUUGGAGAUUUUGGGUGAGCAACACUGAGAAACUUUCCAGGGGGAAUGAAAGGCUAUUAUGGCAGUCAAGCGAACACUGACCCAGCUGCUUGAUAAUGUUUUCUUUAGUUCCAGUAGGUAAUCCAGGAUAACAGAGAGUGAGGAAGAUUCAGGUGCAAGUUAUUUGAAUUCACACCAAUGGCUAAAUCUUUUCCACUUUUGAAGUGACCAUUGGGAUCGGUUGGAGAAAAGGAAUGCCUGCACCGGUGUUGUGAUGAUCUUCCCACCAGUCUUGGGAAUCUUUCACCUGGCAGGGUACUGAAGCCUGUUUGUCUAAACUGUGUCUGUUUGGUCAUGUGAAGACCUUUAACCAUUUUUGUUGCUCUUCUCUGGACUUUCUCCAAUUUGUUCACAUCUUUCCUGUAAUGUGGCACC